GGUCUGGUGGUGUAGCGGUUACACAUCCUCAUACAUUAGCUAGGUAAUUUAUGUUCUGAGGAAGUCCUUCGUUUGACUCGGGGUCAGACCA
Mycena alexandri is the source of this 91-nucleotide non-coding RNA. NCBI's taxonomy places the organism in Eukaryota, Fungi, Basidiomycota, Agaricomycetes, Agaricales, Mycenaceae. The record is from the annotation of a GenBank genome assembly.